RNAcentral lists this ribosomal RNA (923 nucleotides) under marine metagenome. Its description in RNAcentral is "bacterial SSU rRNA". It matches the Rfam family "Bacterial small subunit ribosomal RNA", at positions 252 to 1193 of the family's 1533-position model. The record is from RNAcentral.
GUGGGGUAAUGGCCUACCAAGACUUUGAUCUAUAGCUGAUCUGAGAGGAUGAUCAGCCACAUUGGGACUGAGACACGGCCCAAACUCCUACGGGAGGCAGCAGUAGGGAAUAUUGCACAAUGGAGGAAACUCUGAUGCAGCGAUGCCGCGUGAGUGAAGAAGGCCUUUGGGUUGUAAAGCUCUUUCGUCGGGGAAGAAAAUGACUGUACCCGAAUAAGAAGGUCCGGCUAACUUCGUGCCAGCAGCCGCGGUAAUACGAAGGGACCUAGCGUAGUUCGGAAUUACUGGGCUUAAAGAGUUCGUAGGUGGUUAAAAAAGUUGGUGGUGAAAUCCCAGAGCUUAACUCUGGAACUGCCAUCAAAACUUUUUAGCUAGAGUAUGAUAGAGGAAAGCAGAAUUUCUAGUGUAGAGGUGAAAUUCGUAGAUAUUAGAAAGAAUACCAAUUGCGAAGGCAGCUUUCUGGAUCAUUACUGACGCUGAGGAACGAAAGCAUGGGUAGCGAAGAGGAUUAGAUACCCUCGUAGUCCAUGCCGUAAACGAUGUGUGUUAGACGUUGGAAAUUUAUUUUCAGUGUCGCAGCGAAAGCAUUAAACACACCGCCUGGGGAGUACGACCGCAAGGUUAAAACUCAAAUGAAUUGACGGGGACCCGCACAAGUAGUGGAGCAUGUGGUUUAAUUCGAAGAUACGCGCAGAACCUUACCAACACUUGACAUGUUCGUCGCGACUCUAAGAGAUUAGAGUUUUCGGUUCGGCCGGACGAAACACAGGUGCUGCAUGGCUGUCGUCAGCUCGUGUCGUGAGAUGUUGGGUUAAGUCCCGCAACGAGCGCAACCCUCACUUUUAGUUGCCAUCAUUUAGUUGGGCACUCUGAAAGAACUGCCAGUGAUAAGCUGGAGGAAGGUGGGGAUGACGUCAAGUCCU